UACGAAGGGGGCUAGCGUUGCUCGGAAUCACUGGGCGUAAAGGGUGCGUAGGCGGGUCUUUAAGUCAGGGGGGAAAUCCUGGAGCUCAACUCCAGAACUGCCUUUGAUACUGAAGAUCUUGAGUUCGGGAGAGGUGAGUGGAACUGCGAGUGUAGAGGUGAAAUUCGUAGAUAUUCGCAAGAACACCAGUGGCGAAGGCGGCUCACUGGCCCGAUACUGACGCUGAGGCACGAAAGCGUGGGGAGCAAACAGA
Molecule: ribosomal RNA, 253 nt
Filed under: uncultured bacterium
Lineage: Bacteria
Description: partial 16S ribosomal RNA
Rfam family: Bacterial small subunit ribosomal RNA
Source: RNAcentral